RNAcentral lists this ribosomal RNA (439 nucleotides) under uncultured Novosphingobium sp. RNAcentral's name for it is "bacterial SSU rRNA". It matches the Rfam family "Bacterial small subunit ribosomal RNA", at positions 37 to 524 of the family's 1533-position model. Lineage: Bacteria; Pseudomonadati; Pseudomonadota; Alphaproteobacteria; Sphingomonadales; Sphingomonadaceae. The record is from RNAcentral.
UGGCGGCAUGCCUACCAUGCAAGUCGAACGAACCCUUCGGGGUUAGUGGCGCACGGGUGCGUAACGCGUGGGAAUCUGCCCUUGGGUUCGGAAUAACAGUUAGAAAUGACUGCUAAUACCGGAUGAAGUCUUCGGACCAAAGAUUUAUCGCCCAGGGAUGAGCCCGCGUAGGAUUAGGUAGUUGGUGGGGUAAAGGCCUACCAAGCCGACGAUCCUUAGCUGGUCUGAGAGGAUGAUCAGCCACACUGGGACUGAGACACGGCCCAGACUCCUACGGGAGGCAGCAGUGGGGAAUAUUGGACAAUGGGGGAAACCCUGAUCCAGCAAUGCCGCGUGAGUGAUGAAGGCCUUCGGGUCGUAAAGCUCUUUUACCAGGGAUGAUAAUGACAGUACCUGGAGAAUAAGCUCCGGCUAACUACGUGCCAGCAGCCGCGGUAAU